GUGGUAAUGAUGGAGGCAGUCUUGGUGGUGAUGGCGGUGGUCAUGGUAGAAGCUUUAGAGUUGAUGAUGGUAAAGGUAGAGGUACCGACAAUAGUAUAAAAGGUGGUGAGGUUUUAAAAGAGAUAGUGGUGACAGAAAAUGAAGAAGUGAGAAAUAGAACUUCUAACUAGAAAGAAAAAAAAGUAGAAAGAAAGAAUUUACAAAGAUUCUACAUAAGCCAUUUUAUGCCAUAUCUAUUUAUACCACAUGACAGCACAUGAUUAUUUCUGUCAUGACCAUUAGAUGGAAGCAGC
Molecule: long non-coding RNA, 293 nt
Filed under: Elaeis guineensis (African oil palm)
Lineage: Eukaryota; Viridiplantae; Streptophyta; Magnoliopsida; Arecales; Arecaceae
Description: long non-coding RNA (EGUI_LNC072548)
Source: RNAcentral